This 359-nucleotide ribosomal RNA is filed under the name Limulus polyphemus (Atlantic horseshoe crab). Its description in RNAcentral is "partial 18S ribosomal RNA". It matches the Rfam family "Eukaryotic small subunit ribosomal RNA", at positions 761 to 1120 of the family's 1831-position model. The record is from RNAcentral. Lineage: Eukaryota; Metazoa; Arthropoda; Merostomata; Xiphosura; Limulidae.
GUUUACUUUGAAAANAUUAGAGUGCUCAAAGCAGGCGCAACGCCUGAAUAAUGGUGCAUGGAAUAAUGGAAUAGGACCUCGGUNCUMUUUUGUUGGUUUUCGGAACANGAGGUAAUGAUUAAGAGGGACAGACGGGGGCAUUCGUAUUGCGACGCUAGAGGUGAAAUUCUUGGACCGUCGCAAGACGAACUACUGCGAAAGCAUUUGCCAAGAAUGUUUUCAUUAAUCAAGAACGAAAGUUAGAGGUUCGAAGGCGAUCAGAUACCGCCCUAGUUCUAACCAUAAACGAUGCCAACCAACGAUCCGCCUNAGUUCCUNAAACGACUCGGCNNNCAGCUNCCGGGAAACCAAAGUCUUUG